AUUGAACGCUGGCGGCAGGCCUAACACAUGCAAGUCGAAUGGUAACAGGAAACAGCUUGCUGUUUCGCUGACGAGUGGCGGACGGGUGUGUAAUGUCUGGGAAACUGCCUGAUGGAGGGGGAUAACUACUGGAAACGGUAGCUAUUACCGCAUAACGUCGCAAGACCAAAGUGGGGGACCUUCGGGCCUCUUGCCAUCAGAUGUGCCCAGAUGGGAUUAGCUAGUAGGUGGGGUAACGGCUCACCGAGGCGACGAUCCCUAGCUGGUCUGAGAGGAUGACCAGCCACACUGGAACUGAGACACGGUCCAGACUCCUACGGGAGGCAGCAGUGGGGAAUAUUGCACAAUGGGCGCAAGCCUGAUGCAGCCAUGCCGCGUGUAUGAAGAAGGCCUUCGGGUUGUAAAGUACUUUCAGCGGGGAGGAAGGGAGUAAAGUUAAUACCUGUGCUCAUUGACGUUACCCGCAGAAGAAGCACCGGCUAACUCCGUG
RNAcentral lists this ribosomal RNA (490 nucleotides) under uncultured bacterium. Its description in RNAcentral is "partial 16S ribosomal RNA". It matches the Rfam family "Bacterial small subunit ribosomal RNA", at positions 30 to 507 of the family's 1533-position model. The record is from RNAcentral.